CUGAGAGCCGGCAGCAACACCCAACACACCCCAGGUUAGAAUACAAACUGUUCAUAGUGGUUUUUAUUACUUGUGCGUAGUAACAUGCAUAGAAUUGACAUUCGCCAGCCUAGAACUCUUGUAAAGUGAGUGUCAUGACUGAUGAGCUGGUUUGGCAUAAGCUCAAAGCAGAAACUGCAAAGCCAAUAACUUUGCAGCACGGGAAGGUGGGAAUAGAAGACAAAAAGUAACAGAAAAUAGAAUUAUGUACGGGAGAAUUGUAGACCAAAAAAAAAGAGGCCUAAAAGAAUAAAACUGGGGGAAGAUAUCUGAAAAGGCCACAAAUGAAGAGGUCUAGGGCAUAUUUUCAAAGCUGUAUACCACACCUGCGCUCAUUUUAGAUAAAAAGAAAACUUCUCCAGCUGAGCUUAAUAAGAAGAAGAAACCAAACAUAUUUCUUUCACUCUGGAGAAAUCACAAUACGACCUGUUUAUCCUCCAACAACUAUCGGCACUAGCAACGUAUAGACGCAGAACUGACACAGGUGAAACAUCGUUUCUCUAGGUUUUGUUAAAGCCUUGCGGUUGUUUUGGCAAAAGAACGCUCUGCUUCUCUGUUCCAACACAGUUCAUGGAAAGAUCACUUUCAAAGCAGAUUCUCAACGCUUUGUAGAGAUAAUUAGCUUACGAGCCUUAGUCCAUCAUUGCACUAAUUAGUUCUCAGCUGCAGGGAUUCAAUUGUUUGUCCUUGUGCAAAAUUUGGAUGGGGAAGAUGAGCUUACGUGCUAUUGUGGCUCUAGGUUGUAAGAGGCCCAAAGUAAAAAGAGCUGUUGGAACAUCCCCAAUUCUAGCACAAUCAAUGGGCUUUAGUUAUUCACAAACUUAAGAAUUGAUGAUCAGUAUGAUAUAAAUCAUAGAGAUGUAUCAUUAGGAGACGUGUGGUCACACACCCAUGGUCACUGCCCCUCUAAUACAAUUGGGCAUCGUACAUGGGGAACCAAAGCAGAUUCUUAUAUGAUAGCACCACCUACAGUAUGGAAGUGUUAUUUACACAUGGGUUACCAAACUGCUGCAAACUCACUCAGUACAAGAUUUCAUUUCUUUUGUUUGCAAAUCCUUAUAAUCACAGCUGCAGUUCAUCUUAAAUCAAGGGAGACUUCACAAGUUUAUCCUUGGAGCAUUGUAGUACACACUAUGGUAUUAAAUGGUAUUGUGCAAACAUGAUCUCGUUGUUAAGCUAUUGAGAUGAUAUUGAAGCGGCUGGAGGUUCUAUAAGAACACUGCUAGAACAGAGCCUUGUUUGGUUGAAGAUAGAGGUAAUAAAUGCAUUUCCUUAGUUCUGAAUUGUUGCUAAUUUAAAUCUAAAAAUAUUGUAAAAAAUAACCAAGCUGUGACUUAAUCCAGGAACUUUUCCAUUUUAGAAUCCAGAUUUUAACCUACCGGUAAAUUUUGCCUUCUCCUACACUUCAGAGUUUUGUGAUUUUAAAUAAAUAGCUGUGCUAUUUACUGUGUGC
This is a non-coding RNA of Pelobates cultripes (western spadefoot toad), 1492 nucleotides long. NCBI's taxonomy places the organism in Eukaryota, Metazoa, Chordata, Amphibia, Anura, Pelobatidae. The record is from the annotation of a GenBank genome assembly.